GACGAACGCUGGCGGCGUGCUUAACACAUGCAAGUCGAGCGGAGCGGCGAACGGGUGAGUAACGCGUGAGUAACUGCCCCCCUCUCUGGGAUAACAGUUGGAAACGGCUGCUAAUACAGGAUAGUGGGGGAUGACUCGCGUCCUAUCAGCUUGUUGGUGGGGUAGUGGCCUACCAAGGCGACGACGGGUAGCCGGCCUGAGAGGGAGACCGGCCACAUGGGGUUGAGAUACGGGCCAAACGCCUACGGGAGGCAGCAGGGGGGAAUAGUGCGAAAUGGGGGAAACGCUGAUGCAGCAACGCCGCGGGCGGGAUGACGGCCUUCGGGUUGUAAACCGCGUUCAGCCAGGACGCGGUAGUGGCAGAAGAAGCACCGGCUAACUACGUGCCAGCAGCCGCGGUAAUAC
RNAcentral lists this ribosomal RNA (405 nucleotides) under uncultured bacterium. RNAcentral's name for it is "partial 16S ribosomal RNA". It matches the Rfam family "Bacterial small subunit ribosomal RNA", at positions 28 to 526 of the family's 1533-position model. The record is from RNAcentral.